CGAAAGGGGCAGUAAUACAUGGGUAACCUACCCUGGGGCCUGGGAUAGCUGUUCUAACGGACAGGUAAUACCAGGUAAGCCGGUUGUGUCGCAUGACACGAUCGGGAGAGGGCAACCGCCCUAGGAGGGGCCCAUGCGAUAUUAGCUAGUUGGCGGGGUAAUGGUCCACCAAGGCGAUGAUGUCUAGCGGGUGUGAGAGCACGACCCGCGCCAUUGGCACUGAGACACUGGCCAGACUCCUACGGGAGGCUGCAGUCGAGAAUCUUCGGCAAUGGGCGAAAGCCUGACCGAGCGACGCCGCGUGUGCGAUGAAGGCCCUUCGGGUUGUAAAGCACUGUCGAGAGGAAACAAGCCGCAAGGUUGAGUGACCUCUGGAGGAAGCACGGGCUAAGUUCGUGCCAGCAGCCGCGGUAAGACGAACCGUGCGAACGUUGUUCGGAAUCACUGGGCUUAAAGGGUGCGUAGGCGGAAUGGCAAGUCGGAGGUGAAAGCCCCCAGCUUAACUGGGGAAGUGCCCUCGAUACUGCUGUUCUCGAGAGAGGUAGGGGCGUGUGGAACUUCCGGUGGAGCGGUGAAAUGCGUAGAUAUCGGAAGGAACGCCGGUGGCGAAAGCGAUGCGCUGGACCUUUUCUGACGCUGAGGCACGAAAGCUAGGGGAGCGAACGGGAUUAGAUACCCCGGUAGUCCUAGCCCUAAACGAUGGGUACUGGGUUGCGGGUCAGACAUGGACUCGCAGCCGAAGCAAAAGUGGUAAGUACCCCGCCUGGGGGAGUAUGGUCGCAAGGCUGAAACUCAAAGGAAUUGACGGGGGCUCACACAAGCGGUGG
This 827-nucleotide ribosomal RNA is filed under the name uncultured bacterium. RNAcentral's name for it is "bacterial SSU rRNA". It matches the Rfam family "Bacterial small subunit ribosomal RNA", at positions 99 to 935 of the family's 1533-position model. The record is from RNAcentral.